AGCUUGCUCCCGGAUGUUAGCGGCGGACGGGUGAGUAACACGUGGGUAACCUGCCUGUAAGACUGGGAUAACUCCGGGAAACCGGAGCUAAUACCGGAUAGUUCCUUGAACCGCAUGGUUCAAGGAUGAAAGACGGUUUCGGCUGUCACUUACAGAUGGACCCGCGGCGCAUUAGCUAGUUGGUGGGGUAAUGGCUCACCAAGGCGACGAUGCGUAGCCGACCUGAGAGGGUGAUCGGCCACACUGGGACUGAGACACGGCCCAGACUCCUACGGGAGGCAGCAGUAGGGAAUCUUCCGCAAUGGACGAAAGUCUGACGGAGCAACGCCGCGUGAGUGAUGAAGGUUUUCGGAUCGUAAAGCUCUGUUGUUAGGGAAGAACAAGUGCGAGAGUAACUGCUCGCACCUUGACGGUACCUAACCAGAAAGCCACGGCUAACUACGUGCCAGCAGCCGCGGUAAUACGUAGGUGGCAAGCGUUGUCCGGAAUUAUUGGGCGUAAAGGGCUCGCAGGCGGUUUCUUAAGUCUGAUGUGAAAGCCCCCGGCUCAACCGGGGAGGGUCAUUGGAAACUGGGAAACUUGAGUGCAGAAGAGGAGAGUGGAAUUCCACGUGUAGCGGUGAAAUGCGUAGAGAUGUGGAGGAACACCAGUGGCGAAGGCGACUCUCUGGUCUGUAACUGACGCUGAGGAGCGAAAGCGUGGGGAGCGAACAGGAUUAGAUACCCUGGUAGUCCACGCCGUAAACGAUGAGUGCUAAGUGUUAGGGGGUUUCCGCCCCUUAGUGCUGCAGCUAACGCAUUAAGCACUCCGCCUGGGGAGUACGGUCGCAAGACUGAAACUCAAAGGAAUUGACGGGGGCCCGCACAAGCGGUGGAGCAUGUGGUUUAAUUCGAAGCAACGCGAAGAACCUUACCAGGUCUUGACAUCCUCUGACAACCCUAGAGAUAGGGCUUUCCCUUCGGGGACAGAGUGACAGGUGGUGCAUGGUUGUCGUCAGCUCGUGUCGUGAGAUGUUGGGUUAAGUCCCGCAACGAGCGCAACCCUUGAUCUUAGUUGCCAGCAUUCAGUUGGGCACUCUAAGGUGACUGCCGGUGACAAACCGGAGGAAGGUGGGGAUGACGUCAAAUCAUCAUGCCCCUUAUGACCUGGGCUACACACGUGCUACAAUGGACAGAACAAAGGGCUGCAAGACCGCAAGGUUUAGCCAAUCCCAUAAAUCUGUUCUCAGUUCGGAUCGCAGUCUGCAACUCGACUGCGUGAAGCUGGAAUUGCUAGUAAUCGCGGAUCAGCAUGCCGCGGUGAAUACGUUCCCGGGCCUUGUACACACCGCCCGUCACACCACGAGAGUUUGCAACACCCGAAGUCGGUGAGGUAACCU
Molecule: ribosomal RNA, 1378 nt
Filed under: Bacillus safensis
Lineage: Bacteria; Bacillati; Bacillota; Bacilli; Caryophanales; Bacillaceae
Description: bacterial SSU rRNA
Rfam family: Bacterial small subunit ribosomal RNA
Source: RNAcentral